GUAAUGUCAUGGAAUGCACAGGCCCAGGUGCAGGAAGUUCCUGUUGGUCCUGGACCUAGCUCCUGUGGCAACCUACAGGCUCUGGUGUCUGGAUGGGUUUCAUCCAUGAGGGACAGAUCUGAUCUAAAGCCUUCACAUGAAGUUCAGAACCUAUCUUGAGAAUGACCAAGGACAUCAAGGAAGCUUUUUGCCUCUUUUCAUCAGGAAAACAGUUUUUCUUUCAACAUGAGGUCACCUCUGAUUGUAUUUACUGAGUCCCUGCUUUAUGCUUGUUAAUACUGCUGGGUGCAGACCACAUGGUGGGGAACAUGACCAUCUUGUGAGAAGCUCACUGCUCUGUCUCCCGCUCUGUCCCCUACAUCAGGCUCUACACACAGAAGAGCCAGAGUUCAAAAGAAGAGAGGAUGGUUUGGUAAUAGAAGACCUCGUUCACAUCCCAGUAUCACCAUAGGAGCCUUGUAACCAAGUCUUUCAUUGUACCUAAGCCUCAGUUUCCUAAUCUUAAAUUAGGAGAUAAUGAUGCUCUGCAGAAUUGUUGCAGCAAUUAAAUAAAACCGUGUCUAUAA
Molecule: long non-coding RNA, 566 nt
Organism: Canis lupus familiaris (dog)
Lineage: Eukaryota; Metazoa; Chordata; Mammalia; Carnivora; Canidae
Exons: 3
Source: RefSeq, a predicted model, not a curated record